GCGUGGUGCUAUCACAGCGGCAAGAUGUGAUCCUGGCUAAGAUGAGGUGACGUCAUCUCCUCUACCAGAUUGUUCAGUCGCUUUUGUCACACCAUGUGAUGUGUAGAUCAAGUGUUCAUCAUGCGGUACAGCUGGGAAGGAAGGCCGCAAGCAUGUAUUAGUGAACCAAUUGGAGGUGCCGUUUGACUCCUGCUACAUCAUUGAUAUCCUAGAUAUCCACAUGGUAUGUGCAGAAUUCUACUAGGGAUAAAAAUCAGUCGAGUAAAAGAGGGAUGAAAAGUUGCAGUCUUUGUGAUAAUCAUGGGAGCCUGGGACAUGUUCACUUAAACUAUUCUGCUGCCGUUU
This is a long non-coding RNA of Lolium rigidum, 345 nucleotides long. RefSeq lists it as uncharacterized. The record is from RefSeq and is a predicted model, not a curated record. The transcript has 5 exons. NCBI's taxonomy places the organism in Eukaryota, Viridiplantae, Streptophyta, Magnoliopsida, Poales, Poaceae.